RNAcentral lists this ribosomal RNA (367 nucleotides) under uncultured bacterium. RNAcentral's name for it is "bacterial SSU rRNA". It matches the Rfam family "Bacterial small subunit ribosomal RNA", at positions 29 to 416 of the family's 1533-position model. The record is from RNAcentral.
AACGAACGCUGGCGGCAUGCCUAACACAUGCAAGUCGAACGGAUAGUCGCAAGACUAUUAGUGGCGGACGGGUGCGUAACGCGUGGGAACCUGCCUUGAAGUUCGGAAUAACUGCGGGAAACUGCAGCUAAUACCGGAUGUGGCCUGCGGGCCAAAGGGGAAACUCGCUUCAAGAGGGGCCCGCGUCCGAUUAGCUAGUUGGCGGGGUAACGGCCCACCAAGGCGAUGAUCGGUAGCUGGCUGAGAGGACGACCAGCCACACUGGAACUGAGAUACGGUCCAGACUCCUACGGGAGGCAGCAGGUGGGGAAUAUUGGACAAGUGGGGGCAACCCUGAUCCAGCAAUGCCGCGUGAGUGAUGAAGGCC